Molecule: long non-coding RNA, 2983 nt
Filed under: Octopus vulgaris (common octopus)
Lineage: Eukaryota; Metazoa; Mollusca; Cephalopoda; Octopoda; Octopodidae
Source: RNAcentral
UAUGUAUAUAUAUAUUAUACAUACACACAUACAUGCACGCAGGCACACACACACGCGCAUACACACCCAACUAACUUACAGAAAUGCACACAAGAAUUUUCUGUACAAAUGUAAACUUAUCUGUGGGAUAUAACGUCGCCAGUUCUCACAAAACCAAACAUUAGAUUAAAACAGACAUGUAAGCAUCAAUUCUCGCCCAGUAGUAAGAGACAAUGUUUAUUGAAGACCAAUCAACUACAUAGCCAUACAACUGUUGGAAAUGCAUAUCUGUAUUUGAGAGGAUAUUGUAGAAAUAUAUAUAUAUAUAUAUAUAUCAGUUGUAGGUAGAUUUUGUAAAUGGUAAUAUCAAACAUACACUCUUGUAUGUUAAUACAUACGGUUCAGAUAGUAUUGAUUCGGUUACAAAGCAAAUUUGUAUAGAUUUUACCCAAAGGUCAGAAAAUUUUCCUGGUUACAAAUCUUAUUCAAACAUUUGAGAGGAGGAAAGCUGUAUUCUAUUGGUUGUAUAUAACAAAUAGUUUUCUCUCCUUCAUCUCCCACAACCUCCAUCAGUGAUGUCGCAAAUAAUCAUAAAAAAAAUAAAUCAAUUGUACACUAUGUGCCAAGGAUUCCUCAGAUCCAAGUAAGUAUCAAUAUUUUGUUGUUUGUUAAUCUUCUUUCUUUCUUUCUUUUUUGUUCCAAUGUUGUUUGCAUUCCUUUGUGUUAUUUUUCUUUGGCAUUAUCCCAAAUUAGUUGAUAUCAGAGUUCUGAAAAACUUCAAUGUAUAUCACAGAAAUAUUAUUGGAGAUAUCUUUCCUUUCUUUUUCUUUCUUUUUUUUUGUUAUCUUUUUUUCUUUUUCUUGGUUUAUUUAUUUAUCUAUAUAUUUAUUCAUUUAUUUAUUUAUUCAUUUGUUUAUUUAUCUAUUUUCUGUCUGGAAGUAACAAUAUCUCAUUGCAUUGUUAGAAUCUUCUUGCUGUUUCCAAACUGUAAAUUCUAAAGCCAGUGUAAUGUCUAAAAUUUCCCAGAUUAAUAUACCUUAUUAUGUUCUUAUUAUGUUAUCUACUUCUUGUUUUCUCAAAUGAGCUCUAAAAUCAGGACAUUUACUUUCCUUCGAACUAACUAACCAACACAAACAGGCUUAGACCUCAUUUAUGAAAGCCAUCUAAUUCCUUAUCUGAUAUUGAUAUAAGGAAAUAUAUUAGAAACAUUUACAUGUGAACAGAGAAUUGACAGCUUACUCUGGAAUCCAAUAACGUCAGCUGACUGAAGCUCUUCAGUCUUUCUAUCCAAACCAUUCGGAAUUCUCUCGCAUUGAAGCAACACUUUUAUAGCAAGAUAGUAAGAUAUUAUCUCUCUAUUCCUGGUUGUAUUCAGACUUCCAAAAACAAUUAAAAAUAUUGAUAUAUAUACAUCUUUUUAUUUUUUUCUAUGACUAGGUACAAGAACUCAGAUUUAUUGUCUCUCACACUGAAGCAAAACUUUUACAAGAUUUUAUCUCUUUAUUCCUGGUUGUAUUUAUAUUUCUUUGAACAGGGAAAUAUUGAUAUAUAUUUUUUACCAUAACUAGGUGCGUGAUUUAAGAUUCACAGAGAAUAAAGAGAUCACAUGGUACUAGUUCCUGUAUAAGGAUCAGAGAAGCACCAUAAAAGACAGAAGCUACAAUUUCGUUUCUAUUCAAAUUGUGGAAUAUUUUUUUAAUAAUAAGCAUUUCUCAGAACAAUAAAAGGAAUUAGAUGAUAAAUGUUCAGAUUAUUAACUUCAUUUUAUUUAGAGAUCAGUGUUGGGCAUUUUCUGGUAUUUAUUAACAUGUGUUAUAUUCUGAGUUCAGAUCCCAUCAGUGUCAGCUUUACCUUCUGGGGUUGAAAGAAUAAAGUACCAGUCAAGUACUGAGGUCAAUAUAAUACAUUAUUCCGUCUCCUAAAACUCUGAAGCCUUGCGUCAGUUGUGUUGUUGAGAAGCUUGCUUCCAAACCAUGUGGUCAUAAGUUCGAUCCUACUGCAUGGCAUCUUUGACAUCUGUCAUCUACUAUAAUCCCAGGUCAACCAAAGCCUUGUGAAUGGAUUUGGUAUCAGGAAACUGAAUAUAUAUGUGUGUAUGUGUGUGUGUGUGGUUGUGUUUGUGUGUGUGUAUGUGUGUGUGUGUGUAUGUGUGUGUGUGUGUGUGUGUGUGUGUCUGUGUCUGUGUAUGUUUAUGUAUAUGUAUACACAUACACACAAGAGAAUCAAUAAAAGAUAUUCAACAUCUUUUGACAUCUUUGGUUGAUUUUGUGUCGCAACUGAAGGAAGAUAAAAUUAAGAAUAAUAUAACUUGGUCCAUAGUAAGGUAGUAUCAUUUCUAGGAAAUGCUGAUUCUGCUCCAAGGAAUCCCUGUCUCUUCUGUGGACCAAUGAAGAGAUCAUUAAUAGAAUUUCUGAAAGAUUCUCAAGAUGCCUACAUGCAUAUAAAUGUACUUUUGUACAAUGCAGUGGGAAUGAAUUGGGGUAACUGUUAACAUAAUUUAUUUUAAGGUAUGGAUGAAUUAAAUUUAGCUUUAACCUCACCAUUCUUAUAAACACCAAUCAGCUAUUUAACUUGCUUUGUGAUUCUGUGUGCAACAAACUACACAUGUGAAAAAUGUUUAUAUUUUUGGGGGAUGCUGGUAUGAGCGAGUGUACAUACACCAUGCAGCUUGUGCAAGGGCGUUUACACAUCCAUAUCUGUUAACAGUUAUUUUUAAAUACUUUUCUCGCUGUAUUAUGUGUUCAUUUCUUUUUCCGCAUCUGUGAUUUUAUUUUGGAUCUUCUGUAUAAAUGAAGAUAUUUCCUUCAUUUUGUUGUUUUUCUUUCUAUGACAGGAGAAAAUACAUUGUGGAACUGAUAUUUUAAUGAAUUGUAUAUAUUUAUCACCCAAUGUGACACAUCUGCACCGCCAGAUGCUCCUGAACCAAUUUUAGGUGUCCCAUCCAUGAGGGAUCGAUGCUACAUGUGUUGAAAUAAUUGUCAUGAUUAAUAAAAAUUCUCGUAUA